Homo sapiens (human) is the source of this 1118-nucleotide long non-coding RNA. Ensembl annotates it as SDHA pseudogene 4. Its record names the gene SDHAP4. Lineage: Eukaryota; Metazoa; Chordata; Mammalia; Primates; Hominidae. The record is from Ensembl.
AGGGACUGGCGGGACUGCGCGGAGGCGACUGCAGACGUAUCGGGGGUCCGGAGCCUGUCGCGGCUGCUAAGCGCUCGGCGCCUGGCGCUGGCGCUGGCCAAGGCUUGGCCAACAGUGUUGCAAACAGGAACCCGAGGUGUUCACUUCACUGUUGAAGGAACGAGAGGGCAUCUGCUAAAGUUUCAGAUUCCAUUUCUGCUCAGUAUCCAGUAGUGGAUCAUGAAUUUGAUGCAGUGGUGGUAGGCGCUGGAGGGGCAGGCUUUGCGAGCUGCAUUUGGCCUUUCCGAGGCAGAGUUUGAUACAGCAUGUGUUACCAAGCUGUUUCCUACCAGGUCACACACUGUUGCAGCGCAGGUUGGAAUCAAUGCUGCUCUGGGGAACAUGGAGGAGGACAACUGGAGGUGGCAUUUCUAUGACACCGUGAAGGGCUCCGACUGGCUGGGGGACCAGGAUGCCAUCCACUACGUGACGGAGCAGGCCCCCACUGCCAUGGUCGAGCUAGAAAAUUAUGGCAUGCCGUUUAGCAGAACUGAAGAUGGGAAGAUUUAUCAGCGUGCAUUUGGUGGACAGAGCCUCAAGUUUGGAAAGGGCAGGCAGGCCCAUCGGUGCUGCUGUGUGGCUGAUCGGACCGGCCACUCAAUAUUGCACACCUCAUAUGGGAGGUCUCUGAGAUAUGAUACCAGCUGUUUUGUGGAGUAUUUUGCCUUGGAUCUCCUGAUAGAGAACAGGGAGUGCCGUGGUGUCAUUGCACUGUGCAUAGAGGACGGGUCCAUCCAUCACAUAAGAGCAAAGAACACUGUUGUUGCCACAGGAGUCAAGAAACUUUUCUUUUGAGCUAUUGACAGCUUUUAACAAGUUAUUAUACUCCUAUGAACAAAAUUUGGAGCAUAUUUGUUUCUCUCUGCCUGAUUUCUCCUGAAUUUGGAAACUAUUUUGCCAUGGUCUCCAUGAACUGAUUUUUUUGUGCAGUGGGCAGGAAGAACCCAUCGGGCAGCUACACAUCUUGAAAGAGAAGCUCUUCCUGUGAGACUCUGGUAGCCAUCAUUCUACUCUAUCUCCACGGGCUCAAUUGUUUUGAGUUUUAGAUCCCACAAAUAAACGAGAACAUGUGAAGCUUG